Molecule: ribosomal RNA, 254 nt
Filed under: uncultured bacterium
Lineage: Bacteria
Description: partial 16S ribosomal RNA
Rfam family: Bacterial small subunit ribosomal RNA
Source: RNAcentral
GACGUAGGGGGCGAGCGUUGUCCGGAUUUACUGGGCGUAAAGCGCGCGUAGGCGGUCCGUUAAGUGCACAAGUGAAAGCUCCUGGCUCAACCAGGAAACUGCUUUGCAUACUGGCGGGCUGGAGGGACGCAGAGGUCUGUGGAAUUCCUGGUGUAACGGUGAAAUGUGUUGAUAUCAGGAGGAACACCCAUGGCGAAGGCAGCAGACUGGGCGUUUCCUGACGCUGAGGCGCGAAAGCGUGGGUAGCAAACAGG